AGGAUGGAAGAAUCCUAUUGUUUAUCCACAAAACAAUAUAAAAUCUAGUAUAUUAUGAGAUGAAGGUCUAUAAAGACCCUGUAAUUGAAUAAAAAAAUGAUAGAGAUCACCAUCAACUGAUAAAUACGUGCCAGGAAUUGAAAUACAAACUGGUGCAGAUCUGGAGUUUACCUGCCCUGCAGUUGCUUCACCAGAUCAAUAUCUCGAAUGAAACUAUGGUUUUCACCAGGAUUAACAGUUCACUGGUCUGCAUUCUGGAGCUGUACAUGUCUUCGAUGUUCAUAUUGAAGAAGGCCCAGUGGAGUUGUUGGAGAAAAAUGAGAAAAAGCCAGG
Dermochelys coriacea (leatherback sea turtle) is the source of this 333-nucleotide long non-coding RNA. RefSeq lists it as uncharacterized. The transcript is spliced from 3 exons. Lineage: Eukaryota; Metazoa; Chordata; Testudines; Dermochelyidae. The record is from RefSeq and is a predicted model, not a curated record.